GAGCCAUUUUUCCACACCCGAUGGAAUAUUGGCCUUCAGAUGUGUUCAGGCCAGGAAUCUUAUCAAACAUGUGAAGUUUGGGGAAGAACGGACAUUUUAUGCCUGAGUUAUAACAUCUUUUAUUCCCAUGGCGAGACAUCGAACUUUGUGACGGCGCCAUGGACACGCCCUUUAACGAAAACUCAAGAUCUUCACAAUUUAACAUCGCACAGGCCUUUAGAAUAGAGUGACUGAAAAAAAAAAAAUUAUGUCAUAAAAUUUCUCGGGGUAGUUUGUUACAGUGUAAAAUAUGUCACUUCCUGUUGCCAGUAGGUGGUGCUAUGACUAUAACUGAAUAUGGGCAUAUCAAUCUGUUCAGGUCAGGAGUCUUAUCAAACAUGUGAAGUUUGUGGCAGAUUGGACAUUGUAUGUCUGAGUUAUAGCAACUUCAUUUUUCACGGCGAAUCAUCGAAAUUCGUCAGGCCGCCACGGACACGCCCUUCAACGAAAACUCAAGAUCUUCGCAAUUUAACAUCGCAAAGGCCUUUAGAUUAGGCAUACCAAAUAUGGGGUUGAUCUGAAUAAAUCUCUAGGAGGAGUUCGUUUAAAUACGACGCAUGGAAAUGGCAAAAAUUACACAAAUUUUGCUCAUAAAAUUAAAAAUAUCCGACUUCCUGUUCGGUUUCGGAUUUUGCUCCAAGAGUCUUUUUUGUAGGUACUGAUGCUUUACAUAUGUGUGCCAAUUUUCGUGCAUGUACGUGAAACACAGCUCGAGGGCUGUUGAUUUUUUUACGGUAGGUGGCGCUGUCGAGCCAUU
Cyprinus carpio carpio is the source of this 796-nucleotide long non-coding RNA. Lineage: Eukaryota; Metazoa; Chordata; Actinopteri; Cypriniformes; Cyprinidae. The record is from Ensembl.